This is a non-coding RNA of Danio rerio (zebrafish), 668 nucleotides long. The record is from RefSeq and is a predicted model, not a curated record. Lineage: Eukaryota; Metazoa; Chordata; Actinopteri; Cypriniformes; Danionidae.
GCUUAAAAAUAAGCAAGAGCAGUAAGCAACCAAGGUUUCAGUAUAGAAUACUGGAAGCCUGCCUGUGCAAACUGGAACUCGUACAACAUAAAUCCAGAGUAUGAAACAAAAUGCACAGCAACAACCAGAGUGAACCAGAAGAAAGCAGGAGAACUAAUGAAGAGGAUAACAACCAUGAACAACAGAGUGUUAUCCUUCUUUCACCAGCUAACUGAAAACUUGGAUUAGAGGUCUCAAUAAUCCUGGACUGGGCCAAAUCCUGACCAGAUGCUGUGGUGGUCAUGGAGGAGUGGAGAGUGAGAGACUGAUUCCUGAAAGACACACGUGAUAGAUGAGUUUCCGCAUGGAUCCAGUGGGCCAGCCUGACCACUCGCCGGUGACCUUUCAAGCCUCUGGUGCCUAGACUGCGGCUUUGCACAAGUUUGGCUAGAGGAAAAUUGGUCGUGCCCAACUGAGCCUGGUAUCUCUCAAGGGCUUUUAUUCUACACUUUCGUCAGUUGGUGAAGUUUGUUCCAUGCCACUGUCGCCACUGGCUCGCUUGGCUUCAAUUGCUGGAUCCGUGGAUUUGCUCUUCAGUGUUUGGACUUUCAGCAGAGACAUUUACUGCUUCAACUCUGAAAACUGGACUGAAGCAGCUUCAAUUUACAAAAACUUCUAUGUUAAGUUGC